UCCUGUGUUGCUUGCCUAUCGUGACGGAAUUCGACUCCCGGAUGAAUUGUAAUUUUUGCCUCUCACCCAUUUGUGGUGUUGGGUUGACGCGGAAGUACUACCCAGUCCCAUUCUCGUUGAAUGCUUCGCCUGUUCGCGUUGCAAUCAUGUCCCAUGAGUGGCUCCUAGUUCCCUCGGAUGCAGAACUGUUGAAGGGUGCACAGCUUGUUGUUGUUGUUUACCCAGAAAGCGUUCAUCGCUCGAUGCGUACGACGGCUGUGCCUGUCUUGGUCCCCUUCUUUAACUAGUUUGGAUGGGGCUCAUGCGGUGCCGGCGUCGCGAAGGAAGGAAUGCUACCUGGUUGAUCCUGCCAGUAGUCAUAUGCUUGUCUCAA
RNAcentral lists this unclassified non-coding RNA (373 nucleotides) under Chrysophyllum venezuelanense. Its description in RNAcentral is "partial contains external transcribed spacer and 18S ribosomal RNA". Lineage: Eukaryota; Viridiplantae; Streptophyta; Magnoliopsida; Ericales; Sapotaceae. The record is from RNAcentral.